UACGGAGGGAGCUAGCGUUGUUCGGAAUUACUGGGCGUAAAGGGUUUGUAGGUGGCCAACUAAGUCAGACGUGAAAUCCCUCAGCUUAACUGGGGAACUGCGUCUGAUACUGGUUGGCUUGAGUGCAGGAGAGGAACGCGGAAUUCCAGGUGUAGCGGUGAAAUGCGUAGAUAUCUGGAGGAACACCGGUGGCGAAGGCGGCGUUCUGGACUGCAACUGACACUGAGAAACGAAAGCCAGGGUAGCAAACGGG
RNAcentral lists this ribosomal RNA (253 nucleotides) under uncultured bacterium. Its description in RNAcentral is "partial 16S ribosomal RNA". It matches the Rfam family "Bacterial small subunit ribosomal RNA", at positions 524 to 776 of the family's 1533-position model. The record is from RNAcentral.